AACGCAUAUUGCGCCCAUUGGUAUUCCAUUGGGCAUGUCUGUUUGAGCGUCAUUACAAACCCUCGACCUUGGUCGGUAUUGAGCCGGACUUUGGGUGCAAACCCAAGCUGGUUUUAAAGUGGUAGGCUUUGCUGACUGCCGCUCCAAACCAAAAACAUAGUAAAUCAUACUUGUUGAUGGCGGUGCGGUUCCAGCCUGGAAAAUGACACUUGUGGUUUGACCUCAGAUCAGACAAGGAUACCCGCUGAACUUAA
This 254-nucleotide unclassified non-coding RNA is filed under the name uncultured Orbiliaceae. Its description in RNAcentral is "sequence contains ITS2". The stretch from base 1 to 52 matches the Rfam family "5.8S ribosomal RNA", at positions 103 to 154 of the family's 154-position model. Lineage: Eukaryota; Fungi; Ascomycota; Orbiliomycetes; Orbiliales. The record is from RNAcentral.